ACCGGGCAUGGUGGCGUGUGCCUGUAGUCCCAGCUACGCAGGAAGCUGAGGCUGGAGGAUCUCUUGAGCCCAGGAGUUCUGGGCUGUAGUGUGCUAUGCUGAACAGGUGUCCAUACUAAGUUUGGCAUCAGUAUGGUGAUCUCCCGGGAGUGGGGGACCACCAGGUUGCCUAAGGAGGGGUGAACCGGCCCAGGUAGGAAACGAAGCAGGUCAGAACUCCCGUGCUGAUCAGUAGUGGGAUUGUGCCUGUGAAUAGCCACUGCAUUCCAGCCUGGGCAACAUAGCAAGACCUCAUCUCU
This 299-nucleotide signal recognition particle RNA is filed under the name Aotus nancymaae (Ma's night monkey). Its description in RNAcentral is "Metazoan signal recognition particle RNA (ENSANAG00000009757.1)". It matches the Rfam family "Metazoan signal recognition particle RNA". From Rfam's summary of the family: The signal recognition particle (SRP) is a universally conserved ribonucleoprotein. Lineage: Eukaryota; Metazoa; Chordata; Mammalia; Primates; Aotidae. The record is from RNAcentral.